Molecule: long non-coding RNA, 1733 nt
Organism: Pleuronectes platessa (European plaice)
Lineage: Eukaryota; Metazoa; Chordata; Actinopteri; Pleuronectiformes; Pleuronectidae
Exons: 2
Source: RefSeq, a predicted model, not a curated record
UGUUCUUCAGCCCUGUUUCUUCCACUUUGGGUUAAUUUCCAACAUGAAACCCUUCCUCUGGUUUCAGGACUGACACGGGGUCGUCCAUGCCUUUAUCUUUUCACCACUAGAUCUCUGUCCCGCCCUGUACACACGUGUUCCUCAGGCUCCCUGCACCACUUUCAACUGGUCAAACUGCUGCUCAGAUCAUCACCACUUCAAGAAAACAUGAUCAUAGAACUGCUCGCCCUUUCACACAUCAACUGUGGAACAUGUUCUGACAAGUGGGUCGGACAUGUUCUGGAGCUGAAGCAGCAGCAGGAGAUUGUCUGGGUCCGACUCGUUCACAGCAACAGGAACAUGUGGGGACAUUCAGACGAGGGGCGGAGCCAAAACACAUAUCUCCAUGAUAGCCAUGGUUAUGUUAAGUUAUGUUAAGUUACAGGUUCACUGUGAAGGAGUUAGUGACGUCUCCAGGUGUCGUACAUGUGAACGUAGUCCACUUGUUCACGUGACUCCUGAACAUGUCCAGAAAGAUAUUUAGAGACAUCUAGUGGUGAAGUUACAUAUUACAAACAACUGAACCCCGAGGACACAAGGACUUUCAAGCUGUUUUCAUGAACUCUGUAAAACAGUGUCUGGACAUUUUCUGGAGUUUGACUUUCACAUAUGAAGAACAGGUGGAGCAGCAGGAGGCCGGACAUGACUUAUAAAUCCUGCUGUGGAAAGAUCAGUGUUGUUGUUUACAGCUCAUCCACACCGACGUCGGCCCUCAUCACCAAACGCUCUGGAAUCUCCUUGUGUUUCCAAGUUGACGUCUUCGUCUUCUACGAGUACGGCUCCUCUUCUUCAUCCAGAGAUAUUUGAGUUCUUCCAGUUUCACGUCAGUCACGUGUUAGAAAUGUAACCUGUUGGAAAAAGAAACCCAACUGUUACUAAAUAUGUUGGAAGAAAGUGUUACAAAUAUGAGAAAUAUGUUAGAAAUAUGUUCUUUCAUUGAGAAUUAUUUUUAUUUAAUUUAUACAUUUAUUAUUUAAUUCAUAACUACAUUCUUUAUUUUAUUCUUCAUUUCAUUGAUCAUUUCAUUUGAUCUCAGAGGUCUUUUUGAUUCAGUAGAUGGUCCUGUGAAGAAAAACUUUUCAAAUUGAUUUCAUUGGUUCAUUUCAGUUUAGCUGAGUUGCUAUUGGUUAAGGCAACGCAUGUCCCGCCUCCUUCACGUUAGAGACGCUGCGGUAGUGUGUGAAAAAUACACAGAGAGCAGCAGGACGAUAAUUGAGACACAGAGGUUUUGGAGUGAUGAAACUUUAAAAAAUACACUUUAUAUUGUUAAAAGGAGGAACUGUGUAAACAGAGAAAAGUCCGGUGAACCACUGAAGCGACCCUGGGAACAUCUUGUGUUUGUUUUAUUAUUUUAUUGUCCCGGCUGGGUUUUUUGAUACCCUGAGAUCCUGGACCGUGGAUUUGGAGUGAUUCUCUCCCUGACGAGGGGGAUGGCGAGCUACCCGCGUGAGCAUUUUGGAUUGAGGAGGAACCUUUCCAUUCUUCAUUCUCUGUCCUGCCAGAGUGGUAGGGUUGUGGGGAAGGACUUCCAAGAACUUUCGAAUUGAACUAUUUCUUUUGGGUAAAACAUUUUAUUUUAUUUAGGGUGCACCCGGUAAAAAAGACAUUUCAAAUAAGAACAAAAGUAACUGUCGGCAGUGUAUGUAAACUGUUUAUUUUCUAUAUAUGUUAAUACAGUGUUUUGCUUAAAUCUA